Molecule: non-coding RNA, 291 nt
Organism: Leptonychotes weddellii (Weddell seal)
Lineage: Eukaryota; Metazoa; Chordata; Mammalia; Carnivora; Phocidae
Source: RefSeq, a predicted model, not a curated record
AUGUCGACGGGCACAGACAUUUCUCUUUCUUCAUAUGAUGAAGAUCAGGGAUCUAAGCUUAUCCGAAAAGCUAGAGAAGCACCGUUUGUUCCCAUUGGAAUGGCCGGGUUUGCAGCAAUUGUUGCAUAUGGAUUAUAUAAACUGAAGAGCAGGGGAAAUACUAAAAUGUCUGUUCACCUGAUCCACAUGCGUGUGGCAGCCCAAGGCUAUGUUGUGGGAGCAAUGACUCUCAGUAUGGGCUAUUCCAUGUAUAACAUCUUCUUUAUCCAUUCAUCCAUCGACAUGCACUAA